UCCCUGGUGGCUCAAUGGUAAAGAAUCUGCCUGCCAAUGCAGGAGACACGGGUUCGACCCCUGAUCUGGGAA
Molecule: transfer RNA, 72 nt
Filed under: Bos taurus (domestic cattle)
Lineage: Eukaryota; Metazoa; Chordata; Mammalia; Artiodactyla; Bovidae
Also listed under: 1 other name
Rfam family: tRNA
About the family: Transfer RNA (tRNA) molecules are approximately 80 nucleotides in length. Their secondary structure includes four short double-helical elements and three loops (D, anti-codon, and T loops).
Source: Rfam by way of RNAcentral